This 601-nucleotide ribosomal RNA is filed under the name uncultured Candidatus Saccharibacteria bacterium. RNAcentral describes it as "bacterial SSU rRNA". It matches the Rfam family "Bacterial small subunit ribosomal RNA", at positions 553 to 1167 of the family's 1533-position model. Lineage: Bacteria; Candidatus Saccharimonadota. The record is from RNAcentral.
ACUGGGCGUAAAGAGUUGCGUAGGCGGUUAUGUAAGCGAGUGAUGAAAACUAUCGGUUCAACCGAUAGCCUAUUAUUCGAACUGCAUAACUCGAGAGUAUCAGAGGUCGCUGGAAUUCCUAGUGUAGGAGUGAAAUCCGUAGAUAUUAGGAGGAACACCAAUGGCGUAGGCAGGCGACUGGGAUAUUUCUGACGCUAAGGCACGAAAGCGUGGGGAGCGAACCGGAUUAGAUACCCGGGUAGUCCACGCCGUAAACUAUGGAUGCUAAUUGUUUGGGGUAUCGACCCCUUGAGUAAUAAAGCUAACGCGUUAAGCAUCCCGCCUGUGGAGUACGGCCGCAAGGCUAAAACAUAAAGGAAUUGACGGGGACCCGCACAAGCGGUGGAGGAUGUUCUUUAAUUCGAUGCUAAGCGAAGAACCUUACCAGGGCUUGACAUCCCUUGAAUUUCUCCGAAAGGAGAGAGUGCUUUAUUGAACAAGGUGACAGAUUAUGCAUGGCCGUCGUCAGCUCGUGUCGUGAGAUGUUUGGUUAAGUCCAUCAACGAGCGCAACCCUUAUUGUCAGUUGUAUUUUUCUGGCAAGACUGCCCCGGUAACGGGGA